This 253-nucleotide ribosomal RNA is filed under the name uncultured bacterium. Its description in RNAcentral is "partial 16S ribosomal RNA". It matches the Rfam family "Bacterial small subunit ribosomal RNA", at positions 524 to 776 of the family's 1533-position model. The record is from RNAcentral.
UACAGAGGGUGCGAGCGUUAAUCGGAAUUACUGGGCGUAAAGCGCGUGUAGGCGGCCCGGUAAGUCCGCUGUGAAAGUCCAGGGCUCAACCCUGGGAUGCCGGUGGAUACUGUCGGGCUCGAGUCCGGAAGAGGCGAGUGGAAUUCCUGGUGUAGCGGUGAAAUGCGCAGAUAUCAGGAGGAACACCAAUGGCGAAGGCAGCUCGCUGGGACGUGACUGACGCUGAGACGCGAAAGCGUGGGGAGCAAACAGG